AAUCAAUAACAAAAACCGAUGUCGCACCGAAAGUGUACCCCCCCCCCUCCCUCAAAACACCAAACCAUCCGCCAUAACUUCAGCGCAAACUAGUAUGGGGCUAAAGGGAUAGCCAAAGCCCGAGAACUGAGGAACUCUGGAUACCAGAGGGACACCCCUCAGAACCCCUAAACAAAAAUCAAAAUCAAAAUCGAUUUAAUGGAUGACAACCGGCACUAGGAUUAUCAUCAUGAGAGCCGAAAUCCAACCAAAUCGUUAAGUUUUAAGAAAAGAAAUUACUAAAAGUCAAUAUAUCUACUAUUUUUUAUUGUGAUAGGACAAAACAAAAGUGAGAUGACACGUUUCCCACGAACAUCAGCUGGGCCGCUGAUGUUCGUUGAUAUUUCCGCACAACUUCGCAACAUCAUCCACGUGAACAUGUUUAAUUCGUAGAAGAGGCAGUGAUUGCCCUGUUGUUAAAGUCUGCAGUAUUUAUGGAUCUUGAACAGUCAAAUCAUCAUUUCUAGAUUUCGGUCUUCCCUAUGGAAAUGGAAUCUUGCAACUUUGCAAAAUUAAUACUGGCAGCAAUUAAUGAAGCUCGAAAUAACAAGAGAAUUGUUGACAUCAUUAAUAUCAAGUGAUUUAGCCUUAAUCAGUGGGAACUGGAAGAGUAUCACAAUGGACAUUAAGACUGGCAGCAUCAGCGAAUGAAUCUAUCGAAAUGGGGUACGACAUCGUCAAGAUGAUGCGUUUUUUAGUCAGUGGAGGACGUUCCGGCCUGAGCACCGCCACGGGCUCUAAAGUAUGAAAGACGAAACAUCUGUGGAAACCGCUUGAUGGCCUCUACUGUACAAGGCUACGUUACUUCAUAUCCGCCGUUGUUAGCAACUAUUACAGGUAUGAUGUUUGCGGAGGCUGACUGCCUGUUGGCAUUCACCACCAGGAUGCAACCACGUGAAAUUGAGACACUUUACCUGAGGCAAACAGGUGACACAUUUGCUACUAUUCGAGUAGGUGCGUUGGAGAAGAGGGAAGGAAUGAGAAAGGAACCUCAUAAAGGUCGACCUUUUGCUAGUCCCUCCCCUUAAAACGUCAGCAUUUUGAAAGUUCAUUUAAUAGCGGCGGUUCUUCUCUUCAGUGGUUCACGUGUUGACCGUUGUUUGGCCGACCCCCUUCCUUAUGUCGCUGUUUCUUGCGUCAACAUUCAAUUUCUACAUGUUUGAACGGGCUCAGCAGUCAAACGAAAGCCAUUUAAAGGUUUUGAAAGAUUUAAACAUUCUUCUAGGUAAAGGUAAGCCUGUGAUGGAGGUGAUACAUUGUGUUCAACUGGGCUCAGUAUAUACGCUUGAAACCGGCUAUCUCCAUUUCAAGUCGAGAGGUAACAAGGAGAUGUGUACGGGCAAUUCGGCGUGGUUUGUUUACCUUUCAUAGUGGUAAACACUUUUGCCCUUACUUCGUGUCAAUAAUGGCGUAGUUUUUGUUGACCGAUCGUCCAUUCAUGGCCCGCUAGUUGCAACUAGAUUUACGUAUACAGAGCAAACGACACAGCGUGAAUGUUUCGGUACGGAAGAAUAAAAGACAAGUCAAAUACCAGAGUUGGGAGUAGCUCACUGAUUUGAGAGCGCACUCAGAGCUUUCCGUUCAGUGCUGAAAAGUGAGCGUAGCUCAGCUCUCGCUCGCAAAAAAAAAAAAAAGUGAGCGCUCUCGCGCUCUUCGCUCACGUACAAAAAAUGCAAUAUGAAAUCUGUAUAUUUCCGUCUUCAUUUUGGCAUUACAACUGCAUUACAACUUACUUAAAAGAUGAAUCCUACGGGUUCUUACUGGAAUUCCCGGUUUUUUUUCAAAACUAAUUUGUCAAGUAAUUUCCAAAGUAUGCAUUUGGAAAUAUUCCGUCAUCCAAUUAGUUUUACAUAUUGACCGCUAUAGACAGUCAUUGAGCUUCCGCUCAGGAGGUCUUCGCUCGCGCUCCCGCUCACGUUUUUCCAGUUUGAGCGACUUCGCUCGUCGCUCUGAGCGCCGCUCUGAGCGCCGCUCAGAGCGCGCUCCCCCCAACCCUGUCAAAUACAAACACCAUUUUUAUACAUCAGCAAAUAAAGGUAUACACGGUUUGUUUGAGUACCUGAUUUGUCGCAGUAAAUUAAUUUGGCUUAAACAAGGGAGAUUGAACUUGCUUUAAAAUUAUUGCACAGUAUUUGAGCAAAGUUGGUUGAAGGUGCUAAUGUUAAAUCUUGCGGAUAAUCUUCGAAAUCCACGUAUUCUUUCUUCAAGAUGAAUUCCAAUAUUGCAAUGACAUUCUGCCGUACGGCAACCGCUGUGUCGACCAAAUGUUCUUUGGUGAAUUUAAUAUCUCGUGGAUUUCGUUGGUGUUUAUUCAAAAGGAAAUCUUUAUUCCUGGCUCGCUGGAUGACGAUGACAUAUUCAUUGUUCAAUUGUUUUGAAAAUGACCGAACUUGUUCGAACGACCAGUAAGUUUUCUUGUUGGUCUCACAAAUCACCAAAUAACAAGUUGGAUAAAAAGAAUGGCCAUUCUUUUUUGAAUUCGUAAUGGUCAGAAGAAAGAAGAGAGCCAUCAAGACACCGAAAAAAAUAAUGUUCCCUGGGAAAAUCGAAAGCUCACUAAAACCUGUCCUGAAGCAAAUUAUUCCCACACUUAUAGCUGCAACAGCAAGAAAAAUUUUCUUGUAAUGAAAGUUGAGAAAUAAGAAAGAAGAAAGAAAGAAGAUCAAGAUUAAAGGCGAGUUAUUUGGCGCAUGUUUUACUAAAAUAUAACCGAUUACGACUAUGCUGAAACCUAGCAAAAAUAAUGGAUCCAUGACAAACCAUGGAACGCGAAAUUCUUCUGAUUUAUACAACUCUAAUUUUGUCAAAGUUUCUGGAUCGCAUUUACGUUGCACUUCACUGAGUACUCGAUCCACAUUCUUGUAACAACUGAUGGAUGACGAUCGGGGUUGAUCGGCAGCUUCGUCAAAAUAAACCUGUUCGUUAAACGAUUCGAUUCGUUUAAAAAGCAAAUCGGCAAAUUUUUGGCUAUUGGCAGCAAGGACGUAGUGAUCGCCGCUUAAACAGUCUCUCCUCCACAUGUAAUUGAUGAGUUGUUUGAUUGUUAUAUUGUCGCCUUGUGUCGUUUUGAUCUUCCGAAUCCCCGUCCACGGAGUUAGCCCAGUCGUCCGUUUCUUCCUUUGGUACAUGUCACGAACGCUCUCUAGCUUCUGGGAGCGUUGAAUCGUGAUGUGUUGGGUGUUUUUCUCAAUGGACCACCACCAAUUCGAAAUUUCUACUACAAUGAACACGUGAUAAAGCUUGCCGUUUGUCAAUUGUUUCGAAGAGAGCGGAUUGCUGUAAACGGAGGCAUUUUGAAUCUCCUCUUCAGUUUCACUUAAAUGCAACAUUAUUUUGCGAAGUUGGUCAUACGUUAUCCAAUAGUCAUCUGCUUUUGGUUCAUCCGCCCUAGGAUCAAAGUAUAGUUCCCGGCGAGAGAAAUCGCUAUUGGUACUAAUACUCGGCGACAUUUCUUUGUCGAAGACGUCGCACGCGUGAAACACACUCACUUUAUUUUCCGCUCUUUUUAAAACCAUUGGGCCAAUAGACUGGAAAUAAUUCGAGAGAUUUGUCUGAAAAGGAUGAAAAGCAACUGGUAAAACAGUUUGUUGGUUGUCUUGGUACAGUAGCGGUCCACGAAGUGGGAAGGGGUGGAGCCUGCACCAAAAAGACCCCUUUAGCCUUGUAUUCUUUGAACUUGCGCGGGGGUUUAAACUUCAAACCCUUUUUAACCAGUUUCCUGCCCUAAAUAUAUGAUGGAAAUCGCUGCCGAGUAAAAAAAACCCUUUAAUUAUUGAGAUAACUCGCCAAUCAUAUUUAAAAAUUCCUUGUGAAAUUCAAUCAAAAUUUUGUGAUUUCUAGUCUACUUCAUGUGUUCUAUGUUAUUACGAUUAAACCUAGAAAAUGUUUUUUUAUUUGUAAUGUACUUCUAUUGAUGUAAUAUACGUAAUAUUUUGCUGUGAUGAAUAAGAGAAACAGAAAGUGCGUACGUACACACUUUCUUAAUGAUAAACUUCAUGUAUCGGGUUCAGCAACAAAUAUUGGGCCACGGGAACAGUGCUGAGGGCAACAAGGUCACAUCUCUCUAGCAGUUGCAAGACCCUUCUUGUAUUGUUCUUAAGGGGCGCCACGAAGUGGGACAAACCGGCAAAGUGGGAAGCUUCUCCCCUCGCACGACUUGUCCCACUUCGUGGACCGCUACUGUACCUUCUAAGAUUCAGUGGGAGGGGCCUCUGACUUUUUCCCAGGUUUGGGGCCUGGGAGGAGUGUGCAGACUAAUCCUGCGUUCUUCACAACCAACUUGGGGUAGUUUGUGCCUCGGGGUAUUCGAACCAUUGAGUGCUGCGACUGGUGGUCAAUUUUCAAUAGGACGUUUUCCACAAUUUCUUCACAAGUUUUAGACGCCACACAGAACGCACUAUUCUGCUGCCUGAUACUCUGUCCAGGUCUGAGACAGUGAUCAGUGAUACUCUGUCUGAUCUCUGAUGUCUCAAAUUGAAUCCUAGUGGCAAUUCUAACCAGGAAAACGAAGAAUACGCCAAAAAUACUGAUCUUACUACUAGCUUUAAUAGUUAUUUUUAUUUUUGAGACAGUGGCUUUAAAGUGGCUUUUUUUUACAUUUCAAGUGGCUUUAUUUGCCCAAUUUGGCGCCUUUUUUGGCUUUAGAGAAAAUUAUUUUGUGGCAACACUGCGGCUUCCACUCCCCGGACAGCUAUGGGUUCGACUCCUCCCUGUAGAGGGAUAACAACUGCUGUCCCCUCUAUACUCCUCCCAGCCCCGGUUGUCGAUGCUUUGCUUUUUCUUUCUUUGCGCACAAUGUAGGUGAGAUCAAGUUAAAUCCGCGAUUUUCACAAGACCAGUCCUGUUGAUACAAAAAACAAAUGUUUCUUUUUAUUUUAACUGCUGAAAACGUUGAAAGAUUGUACGGAAUUUUCUGAACGGACGAAACGGAUUGGCGGCUAAUAAGUCAGUCCUCUCUCCCGUGUUUUGUUUGUCACUUUCUGCGAUGGACUGUCGUCUUUUAAUGAAAACACUACGGUCAGCAGUCUGCAGGGCUGGAGAUGACCGCUGAAACUGGACCAUAAAAAGAACUAGCUCCGAGCAUCGAAGAUGGACCCCAACAUUCAGAUAGAAGCGAGUCAUAUCGCCUGAUUUCGCCAGCGGCGCCCUUUUUUAAAAGUUUUUUUUUUUUUUUUACGACGUUGCUACAUGACAUCGACACCGAGAUAAAAAGAAAGCUAUCCCUCACCCACUCGACUUUGCCUUUAGGAUCGGAAAUGGCAUUAAGGUCAAGUCAGAGCAAAGAGAAGGGGAGAGACUUAGGGCCUUAGCAAACCCUUACUCCUUCUCCAAAAACAUAGCGCUAACACUUUGCAUAUAUGACAAUAGAGGUUGUCGCCGCCAACACAAAUCGUUUGUCAUAGGUAAAUGACUGUGUUUCACUUCAGCUUGCAUUUCUUGCCGUCUUUUUAACGCCACUCCCGUGAUGCUUUUGUGUUGGUGGUGCAACAGUCGAUUACCGAUUGCAACAUCCUCAUUGCAUUCAUAGACGGUGGGACAGUGUAAGUUCCAAACACGGUAUAGGCAUUCUCCCUUCAUUGACUAGCUAGCAAAUUGGAAAUGGAUGAAGAGCCAAAGAGUGCAAGAAAGGCUUGAUAGCUGAGAACUGUUCUUUUCCAUUGAUUAUAAAUAGCUGCACUGGCGUUGCCUUGUAGGCUUUUCUGACGACAUUCCAUGACAGUCGUCUUUUGCAACGAGAAGCUUGGAUGCAAUGUACGCAGUCCCGUUUUUCAUCGACGCUGUGUAGAAAUAGAAGCAGUCACGGGGUCACCCCGUGACUGCUUCUAUUUCUAUCCUCGUAUCCUGUACGUAUUUAUGACUUUCUUUUGAAUCCUCAGUGGCGCAAAAGCAAUCGCAACAGUGGAAAAAGAUGAUGCACUUUAAUACGAGUUGCUUAAUUAUGUCGUAGGCUUGUCAAUGAAUUUGCUAACUAUAACGACAUUGACGUAUGAUUCGGUGACCUAAUCGGGCAAUUUAAUUUGUCAAUUUCUGCUACUUGUUACGUGCAUGCAAACGGAGUAUGCUGGAAAGACAGCAUCCACAACAACGACCCUAUUACGGUAUCCAUCUGAUAUAAGGUUCGCUUCCAGCCGAGCUCUAUUCCUGGAACACACAGGCCGUCCAUUCAUCGCCCACUAUAUAGCCAUAACAAACAGCUGAGUCGGACUGACGCAAUUUGAAAACAAUUUGAUUGCCAAACAUCGGCUAUUUAUGUAUCGCGGACGACUGAGCUCCUAGACGAUUUGAACUGCAGUGCUCCCAGCAUCCAAGUUGAAUUCAAUCUUGUAUAGUUUAUUGGCGUGAACAUCAUCACGCACGUUUUAAGAACGUGGAGUGCGAAUGGCGUCUGUUUCUUACGACGCGUGUUUACUUGGACUUGUCUUUAUGCAGAUAUACGAAACCGAACGUUGAAGAAAACCAGAUGAUUAAGUUCAACGCCUUUACACUUUUCGUUCAUGAUAGGGUUGUGACCUUAAACUUUGCUGAACAUCAAAUGUUGUUUUGUUUGUUUUUGUAUAUGAGAUAAAUUAUCUCGGCUCUUCUUGCAUUGCAUCCUGUCGCUCAUCGCAUUUGCUUUUCUUUAUGGGGUGGUGAUAACAUUUUGUGUGAGGGGGUUCAGAUGAAACGUUAGCAACAAGAUCGGUGAAUUUCAUGUUGUUUCGGUUAUUUAAGACUUGAGUUGCCUCGAAAUCCCGCAAAAACAAACAGGAUAUGUAUAAACGGAUUAGAAUUUGGUGUUUGUUCAAACUGUCGCGUAUAGACCUUAUUAAGAUCCAAAGGUAUGGGUCAAGCCUACCCCCUAGCGGCGCGUUUCAGUGUGAAGGGGUGCCGUGAACAGCCGCUUUUUAUUUGGCUUGCCGCAUGUGGCAUAACCCAAAAAAGACGUAGAACCAUGCCACAUGCGGCAAGCCAAAUAAAAAGCGGCUGUUCAUGGCACCCCUUCACACUGAAACGCGCCGCCUAGCCCCUAGUAGGCUUGACCCAUACCUUUGGAUCUUAAUAAGGUCUAUAUAGAAGCGAGUCCCCAUUUCCUGAGAGGUUGCAAU
Molecule: RNA transcript, 7124 nt
Organism: Daphnia magna
Lineage: Eukaryota; Metazoa; Arthropoda; Branchiopoda; Diplostraca; Daphniidae
Gene name: speckle-type POZ protein-like B
Exons: 6
Source: RefSeq, a predicted model, not a curated record